RNAcentral lists this long non-coding RNA (848 nucleotides) under Cyanistes caeruleus (blue tit). RNAcentral's name for it is "lncRNA (ENSCCEG00000016252.1)". The record is from RNAcentral. Lineage: Eukaryota; Metazoa; Chordata; Aves; Passeriformes; Paridae.
UUGCAAUAUCCGCAAGCUUAAACUCUCCACCACCUUGGUGCCUACAGAAGACAGAAAGCAACUGGCAGGGAGUUUUAAAAACCUAUAGAUUUACGCAAACGCCUUAGCUCAGAGUCACGUUUCCCUCCGAGUUCUUACGUGAUCUUAAUGAAUGAGAGGGGUUACCAACCAAUACAGUAUAAAACGUGAUCGCAGCCGCCUCCCAGGAAACCGGAGCGGGACACAAAGUUCCCGAGGAAAGUGCUGGCCGGGCGGGCGCACUGUGCGGUGAGCCCCGACUCCCACCGCCCUCCUUCCACCGCCCUGCUCGCACCUGGGGCCGGGCAAGGCGAGCCGGCUCUGGAGAUUUACGUUCGGGACAGAUCCAAACUCUCAAGAAACAUCUUUCUGUCAAAACUGAAACAGAUUGUGGUGUUCAGCAGUACAUUUCUCUGCUAGGGAAACAUUCUUGAACAGAAAAAGGAGAAGGUAUUGUAUUCUUCAUACAUCUGGACUUGAAUUCUGCAAUAUAUGUAAGAGUGAAUCUGGAUGCUGUCAUAUGAGCCAACAUACUAGGCAACCUUAAUUUCUAACCCAUUCAGCAAAAUAAGUAAGCUUCUCAUAUUGAAAUAAUUAUCAUAUUUUGGAAAGAUAAAAUCUAACAGAAUUCCAGGUAUGACUUGAAAAGUGGAUGUUCCCUCUGUACAUGGAAGGAUUUGAACUAAUAUCACAAUACUGGUGAAUUACUCCAGACUUUUGAUGAUCUCAACUGAGAGUGCAACAGAGUUUAUUGUACCUUAAAUCACCUGCCUACAUCUCAAAACUAAACUUAAAAUAAAAAUUUUAAUGAAACAAAUUAAAUAAUUAAA